RNAcentral lists this ribosomal RNA (2786 nucleotides) under Shigella dysenteriae. Its description in RNAcentral is "bacterial LSU rRNA". It matches the Rfam family "Bacterial large subunit ribosomal RNA". The record is from RNAcentral. Lineage: Bacteria; Pseudomonadati; Pseudomonadota; Gammaproteobacteria; Enterobacterales; Enterobacteriaceae.
AGCGUACACGGUGGAUGCCCUGGCAGUCAGAGGCGAUGAAGGACGUGCUAAUCUGCGAUAAGCGUCGGUAAGGUGAUAUGAACCGUUAUAACCGGCGAUUUCCGAAUGGGGAAACCCAGUGUGUUUCGACACACUAUCAUUAACUGAAUCCAUAGGUUAAUGAGGCGAACCGGGGGAACUGAAACAUCUAAGUACCCCGAGGAAAAGAAAUCAACCGAGAUUCCCCCAGUAGCGGCGAGCGAACGGGGAGCAGCCCAGAGCCUGAAUCAGUGUGUGUGUUAGUGGAAGCGUCUGGAAAGGCGCGCGAUACAGGGUGACAGCCCCGUACACAAAAAUGCACAUGCUGUGAGCUCGAUGAGUAGGGCGGGACACGUGGUAUCCUGUCUGAAUAUGGGGGGACCAUCCUCCAAGGCUAAAUACUCCUGACUGACCGAUAGUGAACCAGUACCGUGAGGGAAAGGCGAAAAGAACCCCGGCGAGGGGAGUGAAAAAGAACCUGAAACCGUGUACGUACAAGCAGUGGGAGCCUCUUUAUGGGGUGACUGCGUACCUUUUGUAUAAUGGGUCAGCGACUUAUAUUCUGUAGCAAGGUUAACCGAAUAGGGGAGCCGAAGGGAAACCGAGUCUUAACUGGGCGUUAAGUUGCAGGGUAUAGACCCGAAACCCGGUGAUCUAGCCAUGGGCAGGUUGAAGGUUGGGUAACACUAACUGGAGGACCGAACCGACUAAUGUUGAAAAAUUAGCGGAUGACUUGUGGCUGGGGGUGAAAGGCCAAUCAAACCGGGAGAUAGCUGGUUCUCCCCGAAAGCUAUUUAGGUAGCGCCUCGUGAAUUCAUCUCCGGGGGUAGAGCACUGUUUCGGCAAGGGGGUCAUCCCGACUUACCAACCCGAUGCAAACUGCGAAUACCGGAGAAUGUUAUCACGGGAGACACACGGCGGGUGCUAACGUCCGUCGUGAAGAGGGAAACAACCCAGACCGCCAGCUAAGGUCCCAAAGUCAUGGUUAAGUGGGAAACGAUGUGGGAAGGCCCAGACAGCCAGGAUGUUGGCUUAGAAGCAGCCAUCAUUUAAAGAAAGCGUAAUAGCUCACUGGUCGAGUCGGCCUGCGCGGAAGAUGUAACGGGGCUAAACCAUGCACCGAAGCUGCGGCAGCGACGCUUAUGCGUUGUUGGGUAGGGGAGCGUUCUGUAAGCCUGUGAAGGUGUGCUGUGAGGCAUGCUGGAGGUAUCAGAAGUGCGAAUGCUGACAUAAGUAACGAUAAAGCGGGUGAAAAGCCCGCUCGCCGGAAGACCAAGGGUUCCUGUCCAACGUUAAUCGGGGCAGGGUGAGUCGACCCCUAAGGCGAGGCCGAAAGGCGUAGUCGAUGGGAAACAGGUUAAUAUUCCUGUACUUGGUGUUACUGCGAAGGGGGGACGGAGAAGGCUAUGUUGGCCGGGCGACGGUUGUCCCGGUUUAAGCGUGUAGGCUGAUUUUCCAGGCAAAUCCGGAAAAUCAAGGCUGAGGCGUGAUGACGAGGCACUACGGUGCUGAAGCAACAAAUGCCCUGCUUCCAGGAAAAGCCUCUAAGCAUCAGGUAACAUCAAAUCGUACCCCAAACCGACACAGGUGGUCAGGUAGAGAAUACCAAGGCGCUUGAGAGAACUCGGGUGAAGGAACUAGGCAAAAUGGUGCCGUAACUUCGGGAGAAGGCACGCUGAUAUGUAGGUGAAGUCCCUCGCGGAUGGAGCUGAAAUCAGUCGAAGAUACCAGCUGGCUGCAACUGUUUAUUAAAAACACAGCACUGUGCAAACACGAAAGUGGACGUAUACGGUGUGACGCCUGCCCGGUGCCGGAAGGUUAAUUGAUGGGGUCAGCGCAAGCGAAGCUCUUGAUCGAAGCCCCGGUAAACGGCGGCCGUAACUAUAACGGUCCUAAGGUAGCGAAAUUCCUUGUCGGGUAAGUUCCGACCUGCACGAAUGGCGUAAUGAUGGCCAGGCUGUCUCCACCCGAGACUCAGUGAAAUUGAACUCGCUGUGAAGAUGCAGUGUACCCGCGGCAAGACGGAAAGACCCCGUGAACCUUUACUAUAGCUUGACACUGAACAUUGAGCCUUGAUGUGUAGGAUAGGUGGGAGGCUUAGAAGUGUGGACGCCAGUCUGCAUGGAGCCGGCCUUGAAAUACCACCCUUUAAUGUUUGAUGUUCUAACGUGGACCCGUAAUCCGGGUUGCGGACAGUGUCUGGUGGGUAGUUUGACUGGGGCGGUCUCCUCCUAAAGAGUAACGGAGGAGCACGAAGGUUGGCUAAUCCUGGUCGGACAUCAGGAGGUUAGUGCAAUGGCAUAAGCCAGCUUGACUGCGAGCGUGACGGCGCGAGCAGGUGCGAAAGCAGGUCAUAGUGAUCCGGUGGUUCUGAAUGGAAGGGCCAUCGCUCAACGGAUAAAAGGUACUCCGGGGAUAACAGGCUGAUACCGCCCAAGAGUUCAUAUCGACGGCGGUGUUUGGCACCUCGAUGUCGGCUCAUCACAUCCUGGGGCUGAAGUAGGUCCCAAGGGUAUGGCUGUUCGCCAUUUAAAGUGGUACGCGAGCUGGGUUUAGAACGUCGUGAGACAGUUCGGUCCCUAUCUGCCGUGGGCGCUGGAGAACUGAGGGGGGCUGCUCCUAGUACGAGAGGACCGGAGUGGACGCAUCACUGGUGUUCGGGUUGUCAUGCCAAUGGCACUGCCCGGUAGCUAAAUGCGGAAGAGAUAAGUGCUGAAAGCAUCUAAGCACGAAACUUGCCCCGAGAUGAGUUCUCCCUGACUCCUUGA